Non-coding RNA from Rhipicephalus microplus (southern cattle tick), 73 nucleotides. NCBI's taxonomy places the organism in Eukaryota, Metazoa, Arthropoda, Arachnida, Ixodida, Ixodidae. The record is from the annotation of a RefSeq genome assembly.
GCCCGACUAGCUCAGCCGGUAGAGCAUGAGACUUUUGAUCUCAGAGUCGUGGGUUCAAGCCCAACGUUUGGCG